RNAcentral lists this long non-coding RNA (307 nucleotides) under Mytilus galloprovincialis (Mediterranean mussel). Lineage: Eukaryota; Metazoa; Mollusca; Bivalvia; Mytilida; Mytilidae. The record is from RNAcentral.
GUGGGUAAGAGCUUUUGAUUUUGCCAUUUGAUUAGAGACUUUCCAUUUUGAAUUUUCCUCGUAGUUUAGUAUUUUUCCCCUCAUUUAACCGACUGAAAAGUAUGCGUAUAUCGCAAACACACAGCUUCUUAUGAAUACAGAGGCCUUGGGUGUUGGUUGUUUGUUUUAUUCCGAUGUGUGUGUUAUACUACUUUUCUUUUCUAACCAAUCGAGUGAUAGUUUUCAUCAACGUUUAAAACAUUUGAAAAAUACUCUUGCUGUAAAUUUGCGUAAUAUAUUUUUAAAAGUAUUUUGAGUGACAGAUGAC